AAAUGCGAUAAGUAAUGUGAAUUGCAGAAUUCAGUGAAUCAUCGAAUCUUUGAACGCACAUUGCGCCCGCCAGUAUUCUGGCGGGCAUGCCUGUUCGAGCGUCAUUACAACCCUCAGGCCCCCGGGCCUGGCGUUGGGGAUCGGCGGAAGCCCCCUGCGGGCACAACGCCGUCCCCCAAAUACAGUGGCGGUCCCGCCGCAGCUUCCAUUGCGUAGUAGCUAACACCUCGCAACUGGAGAGCGGCGCGGCCACGCCGUAAAACACCCAACUUCUGAAUGUUGACCUCGAAUCAGGUAGGAAUACCCGCUAAACUUAAGC
This 319-nucleotide unclassified non-coding RNA is filed under the name plant metagenome. Its description in RNAcentral is "partial contains 5.8S ribosomal RNA, internal transcribed spacer 2, and large subunit ribosomal RNA". The stretch from base 1 to 104 matches the Rfam family "5.8S ribosomal RNA", at positions 51 to 154 of the family's 154-position model. The record is from RNAcentral.